AACCUGUCAUUAUGUCCUGACAGUAGAAUAUGAGAUAGAUAAUCCGUGAAAAAAUCAAGCUCCUCUGGCUCCUCCCAGUGGUCCUAUUGCCAUUUGCAGAAAUUCAUCCGCUCCCGGUAAGAAACAACCAAUCUAUUAAUUGUUUAUACUCGGACUAUUUUAGAUUGCUUCGGGGGCACCGCGGAGAAGUAACCCAGUACCGUUGUGAUUCUUCAUAGACAUAAACAGAGAGAAGUAGUUCCGGCUACGAUGUUCUUCCGCAAGACGCAAGCAGUUAUGUUUAUUAACCGCUAGAGCGUCAAAAGUAACCGACUGCAGCUUUAAAUGGACAGCUGUUGACAUUUAGUGUGAGUGUAGCACUAUAAAAUCAACGUGAAUAGCAUGGCACAGAUUAUUUAUUCUUUUUAUUCAAACUUAGCUAUCUUGAUAUCAUACAGUAGAAUUCUUCCUAAUCAAAACAAAGAUUGUGUGGAGUUGUUCAGCGGCCUCCCUGAGGUGAAAGGCCGACUGUGUUUGGUUUGAGUGAGAUGACCAGACAAUCAUACGAGCGUUGCGUUUAGAUAUGCAUGGACAUUUUAGAUGGUGGGAGAGUACGACAGGUUAGACGUCCACCUCUUCUCCUAUCAUGUGUCCUGAUCUCAUAAUAUUUAAACCUGUGAAACACUGCACAAGAUGCUAGGGUUAACAUGGAGUGCCAUCACUGAUAUGCCUGCUUGUUUGCCAUGGCUCAUGUGCCUGGAAUGUGUCGCUAAAAUGCAAGGAGGACACAACGGCAUUCCUUAUGGAAUUACAGAAAGAGGCUCCAAGCAAAUAUGCAGUCUUGAGACAGGGUGGAGUACUUUGCGGGUGUUUUUGUUCCAGACUCUUGUACAGAAUCAGAAAUGCAGACGCUAGUUUUUUAUGAGGCCUUUGAGCAGAAACAAAUCUCUUUGCUUUCUUCUGUGCCUUCAAUCCUAAUGUCGGAUUCCACUUUUGCAUAUUCAUAAAUCACUGCCUCAGUGAUUCCCCUCAUGCAGAACUGUCUGUGAUAGUCUGCCUCUCUACCUGUUUCUGGUUCACCUGCUGUUGACAAUCUCUGUAGGUUACAUAUUAACUGGGCUAAAUGAAAAGCUGUAUCUCUUCCUUCGGAAGCAGUCCCGCUCUUUUACCUUAAAACUGGAAGAUGAAGAGAAGAUUUAAAAAGAAGAGUGAAAUAUAUUUAUAUAUUUAAGAGAAACAAGAAGAUUUUAAGUACAGUGUAAUUAUUCAUUCUUUUUCUCUGGUUUUCUUAUUUCAUUCUGUUUAAAAGCUGUAGAUUGCUGUUUAUGAACCGUGAACAGACCUGUGGUGUUCUUAUUUGAAUGCAUUAAAUAAAUGAUUUGAUGUACAGAA
Molecule: long non-coding RNA, 1371 nt
Organism: Carassius gibelio (silver crucian carp)
Lineage: Eukaryota; Metazoa; Chordata; Actinopteri; Cypriniformes; Cyprinidae
Exons: 4
Source: RefSeq, a predicted model, not a curated record